UUGCGNNUGGGCGAAGCCUGACGCAGCCAUGCCGCGUGGAUGAUGAAGGUCUUAGGAUUGUAAAAUCCUUUCAGCGGGGACGAUAAUGACGGUACCCGCAGAAGAAGCCCCGGCUAACUUCGUGCCAGCAGCCGCGGUAAUACGAAGGGGGCUAGCGUUGCUCGGAUUUACUGGGCGUAAAGGGCGCGUAGGCGGACAGUUUAGUCAGAGGUGAAAGCCCAGGGCUCAACCUUGGAAUUGCCUUUGAUACUGGCUGUCUUGAGUACGGGAGAGGUGAGUGGAACUCCGAGUGUAGAGGUGAAAUUCGUAGAUAUUCGGAAGAACACCAGUGGCGAAGGCGACUCACUGGCCCGUUACUGACGCUGAGGCGCGAAAGCGUGGGGAGCAAACAGGAUUAGAUACCCUGGUAGUCCACGCUGUAAACGAUGAGUGCUAGUUGUCGGGCGGCAUGCCGUUCGGUGACGCAGCUAACGCAUUAAGCACUCCGCCUGGGGAGUACGGUCGCAAGAUUAAAACUCAAAGGAAUUGACGGA
This 533-nucleotide ribosomal RNA is filed under the name uncultured bacterium. RNAcentral describes it as "bacterial SSU rRNA". It matches the Rfam family "Bacterial small subunit ribosomal RNA", at positions 364 to 917 of the family's 1533-position model. The record is from RNAcentral.